Astatotilapia calliptera (eastern happy) is the source of this 1349-nucleotide long non-coding RNA. NCBI's taxonomy places the organism in Eukaryota, Metazoa, Chordata, Actinopteri, Cichliformes, Cichlidae. The record is from Ensembl.
AGAUCACUCCCGUUUAGAUUAUCAGUGAUUUUUUUUUCAUAGAAGCAAACAUUUUUCUUUUUCAUCAGAUAACAGAACCAUCAUUCACCUUACAUCAGAUAAUAUCUGUUUACAAUGUUUUCAUGCACUCUUGUCUGAGUGCUUUAUCCGGCAAUCAGGCUUAUUAGCAGUAUUGAUCCCACUCAGUAAGUGGUGGAAUGGAUCAGCCUAUAGCUUAGGCUCAUUAGUAAAACGGUAUAGACCCCCGCUGCUGCAAAUGAUCAGCACAAUAAUCACCUUAUAAACGCUUCAGUGUGAAAACGGCGCUUUAGCUGAUUUUUAUGUGCAGUAGAUUAUAGAGCAUGUAGAGUAAUGCACGUGUGAUUCGAAUAGAAUCAUGUGUCGUAAAUAUUUUAUAAGAGCUAUAUUUUACGGUCAGUGGCGACGAGUAAGAGUGAAGCAGGCGCCACCCUUCUCGCUAAAAUGGAAGACCGGAACGUAAACACCGUAAUAACAGGUGAAGGUCGCGUUUGAUCAGCGUAAAAAAACAAAACAAAAACAAAAACCCCCAAUGUCACGACAGUGAUGUCCGUUAGAAUUAGACGAACAAAUACGUAAAGAGAUGUUCGCAUUUUUUUAUUUGGACGUUGCUCACUGCAGCACCUUUGAACACGAGAGGCAGUCGGUGGAUCGACCUCGCUCUCUUGCGCAGGAUGCAAGCUGUUCGAUCCAUCAUUCCAGCGCCCCUGUUAUCAGCUAUUAUCAGCCUCGUGGCUCAGUUAUUUGUUGCGAGAGAGAUACCGAAGCAUCAGGCGAAUGUGCCUGCGCUGGAUUGAAAUGAAAGGAUUUAUUGGCCUGUUCGCCGUGUGCAUCGGUUGCUCUCCGUGGUGCUGAAACUGAGCGUCUGCGUCGAAACGAGAACGCUGGUUGUGAUAGGCGGUGGCUUUAAAAAUGAAUCAAAUCCUCAUCUUUUAAACCUCCCCCGUCCCCGAAAGUGUAACAAUGCGUCGAUGCAUUGUCUGUCUUCACCUUCACAACCCUUUACUUUACAUUUAUAAUCAUAUUGUCUUAAUUGGAUAUCGCUGCGCAUUGUUUACACAUAAAAUGAAUCCACAAGAAGUUAAAAAAAAGCCUGGCUUUCAAAACAAAAACAAAAAAACAGAAAACAGUCCCCCAGAUUCGAAGCAAACUUACCAAAUCUCCAGCUCAGUGUGAAAAUAACUGCGAUAUCGAGGUGAUGCUCCGCGUAUCGAGUCUCUUCUUCCCUAUGAGGCGUGAUAAAAACACGAAACCAUCUCGCAGGAUAUGAAUGCAACAAAGAACGCAAUCCGAGCUGAGUUUAAAAAUAUAUAUUUGUGUAUCAAGCAGCG